UCCAAUGAUGGUAUGAAAUCUUUGAGACCUGAUCUUUUUGUUUUUACAUUUGAUGACAACUAUAAGCAAAUUCACUGAGGAU
Hibiscus syriacus is the source of this 82-nucleotide small nucleolar RNA. RefSeq annotates it as small nucleolar RNA R66. The record is from RefSeq and is a predicted model, not a curated record. Lineage: Eukaryota; Viridiplantae; Streptophyta; Magnoliopsida; Malvales; Malvaceae. The transcript has a single exon.